GAAAUUAAAUCAGAGGAUAUGAAAUGGAAAAUCCCAUGCAUGUCCCCUCAGGAACACAAAAUUUAAGGAGUAAGAGACUGCUUUCCCAUAAAUGAAUGAUUUACAGAAAACUCAUAUUAUUGGAAUUUGCUUUUUUUUUAAUGUAUGUUUAUUUAUUUGAGGGGGGGGAGGGGGAGGGGCAGAGAGAGAGGGAGAAAGAAUUCCAAGCAGGCUCCAAGAUCAGUGCAGAACCCAACAUGGAGCUUGAUCUCAUGAUGGAACAAAUCAGUAACAAAGUCUGUUAGGAAUCCCAGAGCUCAUUGUUGAUGAGGAGGGUAUGAGUCAGUAGGAGAACCUGCUGCUGCCGCCAUGGAGCAAGUGACAGAGGGUUCUUUACGUGGGAACCUUAGAAUAGUCAAAGCUGAAAGGCAUAGGAGAGUUUAACAACUCAGACCCUGAGGGACACAGUAGGAAAUUGUACUUCUGGAAGAAGGCUGGGGAGGGCUACAGGGAAGAACAUUGCGCUUUUAGACCUAAUGAUCUUUGAUCCACCUAUUUACCACUUUCCCUUUGAAAUACAGCCAUAGACAUUCUCCAGGGUUGAAUGCCUUGGUUGAGACUUUGCCUACUCAUAACGAUCUCCAAUAACUUUAAGAUCAAAGAUUCCAGUAAGAACCUGGGCAUUGUCAGAAAAGCAUUUGAAUAAAAAACAGGCAGCUCAUCAAAGUGACCCAAUUAAAUGGAAAUGACACAUUCGGAAACCUGUCUAUGAGUUUUUAUGUUCAGAAAGAAAAAGAAAGAUGGAACUUGAUUUGUGGAUGGCAAUGCUUGACUGAGGGAGGAGAUAUGUUUCUGAAAGAAUGUCAGCUAACAGAAAAUUUCUAGUAAAAGAAAAAGAGAAGGAGAAUAGAAAGCCCUUGCACGUCACAGGACAGGAAUUAGACCUCUUGCUCAACCGCCAGACACUGAAAGCUGUAAAGAGGCACCACUAAAUCUACACGGAAUCAGGAAAUGUUACAGGCCACUGCACCCCCUCCCUAAUUAACUACGCCCAGUCCCUUUAAAGCCCUCUUGGCUAGGCAGAAACCGUGGAGCUGGCUUUUGGACCAGAGUCUGCCUUCUCCCCAGGUGGCCGGCCUCCUGAAUAAAGCACAUAGUCCUUUCCAACCAACACGGGCUCUUGGGUACUGAGCAACAGGCAGAACUUGGGUUCCACAACACAAUUACUAGACAAAGCAGGUGGGGGGAGAGGGUGCAUUGUGAUGUAGUAUUGAGUAAUAUCCCAGAUUAGAAGAUGUGUUUCAAUUCAUGUUGCAGGGCUAUAAAGGUAGAUCACCAGGUGAAUGGUUUCUAAGAAAGGGAGUUGGCAAGAUGGGAUAAAGAGGAAGGAUGCAGCUCUCUGAAUAACUUCUCCAGAGGUAACUUACUUUUCUGGCUCCUACACAAAGCAGAAACUAGCUAUCUCCAUUGUGUCCCCAGUCUGAAACAGAUACCACCUGCCCCUCCUCCUUCUUCUUUGUACUUGGAGUGUGGAAGUGAAGCCAUAGAUGCAGCAGCAGUCCUGUGACCUUGAAAUAAGAAGCAUGAGUGGAAAAUCCACAUGCUAAGGAUGAUGGAACAGGAAAAUAGGAAGAGCUGGAAAUAGUCACAUCAUGUUGCUACUGCACCAGUCCUACACUUCCGACCUUCAGACUUCUUAUUAUUAUUUUAGAAAAAUUAUAUCCCAGCCACCUGGGUGGCUCAGUCGGUUAAGUGGCUGACUCUUGAUUUGGGCUC
Long non-coding RNA from Leopardus geoffroyi (Geoffroy's cat), 1755 nucleotides. RefSeq lists it as uncharacterized. The transcript is spliced from 3 exons. Lineage: Eukaryota; Metazoa; Chordata; Mammalia; Carnivora; Felidae. The record is from RefSeq and is a predicted model, not a curated record.